AAAGUCGUAACAAGGUUUCCGUAGGUGAACCUGCGGAAGGAUCAUUACUGAAGUGAUUUGGGGAUGUUGCUGGCCUCUUCUUUUUUGAGGGGCAAUGUGCACUCCCUGAACAAUUCACAAUUUCCAUCACACCCUUGUGCACAUCCUGUAGGCACCCACUCACCUCUCUUGGUUAGGGCGUCCUAUGUAUUCUUCAUCUCACACUUUAUUGAAUGGUGCUCUUGAACGCAUCUUAUGGAUUAUUUGUAAAAAAGUAAUCACAGAAACAACUUUCAACAAUGGAUCUCUUGGCUCUC
This 296-nucleotide unclassified non-coding RNA is filed under the name Basidiomycota sp. RNAcentral's name for it is "partial contains small subunit ribosomal RNA, internal transcribed spacer 1, and 5.8S ribosomal RNA". The stretch from base 1 to 47 matches the Rfam family "Eukaryotic small subunit ribosomal RNA", at positions 1785 to 1831 of the family's 1831-position model. Lineage: Eukaryota; Fungi; Basidiomycota. The record is from RNAcentral.